AUGUUCUCUCAUCCAACGACCUUGAGGACUUCUCUCGUUUUGUUUAAUUGUCCAAACGCCCUAAAAUAUAACCUAAGACCACCAUUCUUCUUCUCCCUCAUACCCUAUCUCUCACCACCGUCCGCCACCCAUCAUAAUUGGCCAUCGGCGGCGGUGAAUCCCCAAACUCUACCACAUAUUGACCAUAGAACCCCUAUUGUCCUCUCAUACCGAAUCCAUUUCCAUUUCUGUCCAAAAAUCACUCAAUUUCCUCAAAUAGGAAUCUGAAAAAAGCAAUAAAAUUCUUCUCAUUUUCUUUUUGUAGUUUCCUACCAAUCCGUCAUCUCCUUGAUGAUUGAGCAUGUGUACAUCAAUUUGUUUUGGUGGGAGGAUCUAAUUGGUUGAAGUUUCGAUUUAUGCAUGGCCGUCGAAUUUGGGGAUAGCAAUCUCCAAGGUAUCUCCACUUCAAGUUGUGUUUCUUCUUCGUUCUUGACCCGUGUUGAGGGCUGUGACAAAGAGCACAAGACAUUGAAGAAAUUUCGGCUAGUGCUCAUGUUAUAGCUCACAGCAUGGGUUGACGUUUUCUCGUCGGAUGUCAUCUCUGAGCCAUCGAUCUAGUUGGUAUGCUUCUAUUUUUUCUUUAUCUCAGUUAGAUUUAGAAAACAUGAAUUCUCAAUCGAUUAAUUUGGUAGCAAUAGGUUAAGAAGUACAGUUAGUCUCGUUGAUUAGUAUUUGUUAAGUUCUCUUUUCCUUUUGCUCUUUUUCUUUUGGUUCUUCUUCUUUAGAAGGGUUCAGAACUCCUCGUGAAAUUGGUUUGCCUAGAUUUGGGAUUGGGAUUGUUGGUGCAGGGGGCCCAAAAAGAGACUGUUGUAGCUUGCUAAUACAGAAGCCCAAUGGCAUUUGGGGCAGUCUAUGGUUUGUUUAAAGUAAUUACCAAACUUUUGAGGGGUAGUUAGGAGAAUUGGAUAGGAGGAUUCUUGGCUAACUAACUAGGAAGUUUCCAAGAAGGUGGGAAUGAGGUGGUUUAACAAACAGGCUUAAAUCUCAGGGUUUGAAAUGAAUAGAUGAAAAAUUGGGGAAGGGGUAAGGGUAAAAGUUAAAAUCAAUUUUGCUGCCCUAAGAGCUUGCUAUAAAAGGCUCAUUUUCUUUCAUUUCUGGGUAGAGACCAGAAUACCUAAAAAUUUAACAAACGACUGAAGAAUACACACAUUGAUAGAGUUUGAAAAUUAGAAAGAAAAACGCAAAAAAAAGAGAGUUGAAAUGGUGUUGCAUUAGCUGAUUAUUUGGGUUUGAAAAGAGGUCUAAUAUUUUGCUGGGUUUUGGAUUCUAAUCAUGGAUUAGAUUGGGCUAUUUUGCUGCUGACUACUGCUAAAAUAUUGAUGAUCUCACUCUCUUCUUUGAAGUUCUGUAGCUGUUUUUUGGCUGUAUCUAGAUACAUUUUCAAAUCCAUGAAGUGGAAGUAUGAAUGCUGAAUGAAAGUUGAUGCUCCAACAUUUAAACUUCAGCCUCCUUUCAAAGUCUGAUCCUAGUAGUUUUGUCAUGACUUAAUGUUUAUCACCUAGUUUAUUUACCACUUUAAUUGAACUUGUUAUAGACUUUAGUGGAUGUGAUGUAGUGUUUAUAAUCAUAACUUUGGACAUUCAGUGUAUUUUAGUGGCUUCACAUGUAUUUGAAUGAUUUCUUGUUCAUUAUGAGGGAUCUAAUGUCAUGAACUUAUCACUGCUUGAUUCACUAGCUUCAUAUGUUAAAACUUGCGUCAUAAUUAACUUUGAUGUGCCUGUAUAAUGUUUAUUCUUGUGGAAUUAGUGAUCCUGCUCAAAGUGAUGUCUAUUGAGGAUUACUGAAGGCAAUUUGGCCACUGGUUGGCCAUAUCAGCAAGUAUUAAGCCCAAAAUAAGUUUGUUGCUAUGUGGUGUUAGGAAUUGAUAACUCUAUUGCUAUGGUUAAAGCUUGGGUGAAUAGAUCAUAUCCAUUUUAGCAAGUGUUCUCCAGUAUAUCACUUUCAUGAGACAUUGUAUAGAAGUAGUUAGUAUUAUUUGAAGUUUGGGUUUGGCUCUAUUUUGUACUUCAAGGCUACUCUUUUACUGAUUAUCUCAUGUUUUCUAUAUGAUUUGUCUCUCUAGUUAGCUUGAAGCCUAUUCUUAUUGGUUGGUGGAUGAUAGUUAGCUUCUAUUGCUCAAUGCAUAUUUACAAGAAUUAUGUAUUAACCAUUGAUCAUGUUGUCCAGAAUUUUACAUAUUAGGAUCAUAAUUUGGGUAAUUAUGUUUCAAUGUGAUAAGAUUAUUAAUCUGGUCCACGCCCAACUAUAUUUUGUUUUCGCGAUUUAUGUUGAUUUGGGCAUAUAGGAUGAAUUGGGCCAAGCCUACGAGUAGACCAAACAAGGCCACAAUUAUGAACUUGAGCGCUUUACAUC
Molecule: long non-coding RNA, 2391 nt
Filed under: Nicotiana benthamiana
Lineage: Eukaryota; Viridiplantae; Streptophyta; Magnoliopsida; Solanales; Solanaceae
Description: long non-coding RNA (NBEN_LNC022946)
Source: RNAcentral